This 276-nucleotide long non-coding RNA is filed under the name Mytilus galloprovincialis (Mediterranean mussel). Lineage: Eukaryota; Metazoa; Mollusca; Bivalvia; Mytilida; Mytilidae. The record is from RNAcentral.
UGUGCUUGAAAUGAUCUAAAAAUAAAAUAGAUGUCACUGAUAUUAAAAAAUAGCAUUGUCUUGCAGCACAGGUGUUUUUUUUUUUAUUAAAUAGUUUAGCAAAAACAUGGCAGCUUAUUUGUGGGAGUUCUUACAAGGUAGAAUUCUGUCCAAAUAGCCACUAUAAAGUUCAUAACAAGUUUAAUUGAUCUACAAUUCUACUGAAACCAAUGUUCAAAUCUGUAACAUCAAAAACAUCAUAAAAAUAAAGAAAUAAUAACAUUUAUAAAUUAAAAC